CUGGGACAUUCUUUAAAUCAAAUGGCAUCCGAUUGAACUUAAAGUGGCCAUGAGGAGUCGAAAAAGCCGUUUUGGGCUUAGAUGCAGAAUCUACGGGAAUUUGAUGAAAUCCGGAUGCUAGAUCUAACGUACUGAAGUACUUAGCUUCGCCUAACUGAUCUAAUAUUUCCGUAAUAUUAGGAAGAGGAUAGGCAUCCGCCAUGGUUUUUUCGUUUAACCUGCGAUAGUCAAUAACCAUGCGUCAUCGAGGCUUCCCAGAUGAAUCGAGUUUUUUGGGGACAAUCCAUAAAGGAGAAUUAUAAGGGGACAUCGAUGGCUGGAUUAUUUCGCUCUCAAUUAGUGAAUUUACUUGGGUUUUUAUCUCGUUUUUGUGGAUCGGCGGAAAUUUAUAUUGCUUCGUGUUUAUAGAUAAUUUGUCGGUUGUGUUAAUGGCAUGAUGAGGAAUAUUAGCUGCCUUUAAUCUAUCACUAGGUAAAUGUAACUAAUACGGAAACUCGUUGAUGAUUUCUAAAAUACUACUUUUUUCGGAUUCAUGAAGGUGACCUAAUUCAAGAAACCUAAGAAUUUCACUGAGCCUUCGAGCGUGAUCCUCCGAUUUGUCCGCGGGCGGAUUUCCUGUACGAGAAGAACGGGGUGCAGGAGGUCGCGAAUCAAAUUCCUCUAGUUCGACAAGGGGAAUUGUAAUAGUAACAUGGUCGCAAAUUGUAUUAAUUGCGUAUAGUUUGACCAGGCCAUUUUGUUGGCUGGCCAGAAUAUCACCUAUGAAAAUGCCAGGUUCGGCAUCAAUCCGUUUCGUAGCCCAACUCAUUAUUAUUCCCGACGGGGACCGAGAUCAAAACUUUCGUUCGCGGGGGUAAGACGUGUGAUAAAAAGGUGGACGCGAACAAAUUCUUUUUUUCGAAAGACAGAAUACAUGGAAAAUUUUCUUUAAAUUUAAGGGUUGCCUGUUGUUUUUAUAGGAACGCGACUCCUAAAAUUCCGGCUUCCUUAAUUGGAAAGUCGUUAUCGACCAGCUGAAAAUGUAUGGGGGUGUUGCAAAUGAAGAUGAUUAUUUCGCCUCGCGUUUGACCGUUCGCGUUUGGAUCAUGCCGGUUAAGCUGUGAACCUGUGUCUACUAAAUAUUCAGCGAAGCCCUGGUGAAAAUAGUCGUGUGUUAAGAAAAUAGCUGGUGAUUGCACGGCGCUAUUUAAACCGGUUUCAUAGCAGACGCAGUGGAUUUGGCGCGGGAAAUUAGGGGUUCUCUCCGUAUCGCGCCUGGCAGCGGAGCCCCUCUGGAGUUUAAAGGAUUAUUCCCACUAUUUUCAGAGGCUAACGUCUCGCGGUCGACACGUUGAAUAACCUUUAAUUCGUCCUGAACAGCGCUUAGAUCAAAACGUUGAGCAUAUGCGGAUUUUAUUAAGGCAAUCAAUUCUUCAAUAUUUUCCGGUCUAUCCUCGCCUACUAUGCUGUCAUAAACGCGGUAUUGUAUUCAACCUCGUGCUACAGUAAGCAAAUAAUCUUUAUGUUCAGCUCCUACCAUAGAAUCGGCAAGUCUACAUUGAGCAAUGAAAUUUCCUACUUCAGAUGAUUUUCCCUCAAAAUGAGGUAUUAUAUUUACUAUUUAAUCAUACGAAAUACGCGGCGCGGUUCUCGGGAGUUCGAUCGGCAUUGAAAUUGCAUUAUUAAUCAGGUCACGUGGAGCGGUUUGCUGCGAGGGUCGCAUUUGAGUUAGAAUGGGAUCAUUCAAUUGGGGGUUGAAGCGGAUGUUACGUAUACAGAAACUCGCUGUUUGUUUCCGAAGCUCACGUUAAUCAAUUUUAUUUUAUCUACCCUCCUGGAAUUUGGAGCUCGAUCUCCCUGGAGUGCAUCCUGCAGCUGCAUACUCUUAACAUCAUCUUCGACUUGCGUUGCGUGGGAAGACUUCUUAUCUACCCUUUCCCAGGGAACGCGGCUGCUCACCUCAGAGCCAUGAAAAUCCUAACCGUCAGAUUUCCAAAUAUGGAAAUCACCGACGGAUCCCCACCAACAUUUAGGGGUAUAUAAACCCACGAUCUUCGUUGCUCGGGGGAUUAGAACGAUAGAGUUACGUAGAGUCACAUCACGUCCAUCGUUGCAGAGUGUGCUUUAGUGAGAUCGGGCUUCAGUUUCCCUUUCGAUCAAGUUAACCUUAUAGAUCCGCGAAGACGGUUUUCAUCUAUUAUGGCAUUUAAAAUCACACUCGACCGCCGCAUUGCCAGUGCGUUAACACCGUGCAACAAUUAGGUAAUUAAAUUCAACGUUUACUACACACGACCGCGACAACACAACACUACACAUUUGUAACUUAGUAUAGUUAUUCUGAAUAUAUAUAUUCUUUUGUGUAAAUUCAAAGUUUCCUAAGUCAAUUACUAAACCUUCACGAUAUAACAAGCAAUCCUAGCCUGUGUAACGAUCCCACAACAUAAUAACUUUGUCGCUCGAGUUAUUAUUCAAUUAAAUUAAUAAGUUGCGAGGCUUUAUCCGCGACGCGUAGUAUUCAUCAACGAUACGAUUUAAGCUCAGUGUAUUCAACCCGAAUUCCCUAAUUCAACCUAUCCUGCGGUUACCCUUUACUGGGAGAUACCGAUUCCUGCAACUAUCUGACUUCACGUCAGAGUCGUCUGCAUUGUCUAACCUAUCCUCAGCCUUCGGCACCAUUGAUACACAAUAAUUAAUCGUAUUGGUUCAAUUCUCAAAUCUACCCCACUCGCUGGGCUCACACGCGCAUCGCUAUCGCCCUGGCUCGUAACACGGAUAAGAGCCCGAAAAUACUACGAUAGAAGAUACGGGCUCGGGCGAUGUCCGCAGACAAACCAGAAAUCACGAAAGACUCGCUUAUUCGAGGUAUAUUACUAUCAAGAGAAGAAGAGGAAGAUCCUACGCUGGGGGAUUUUACUAUUAUGUCCUCUAUAAAAAAACUCGACAUCACCACGCAGACUAGAUUUGCGGCACUUCUUGGUCUUUACAAAUUUUCUCAAGAAUGGCGGCAUUUUGGGCUGGCAACUAAUAAAGAUUGUAACAACAUAAUUUUUAACAGUCUGGACUUACAAAUUUUGUUGACGAUUGGCUAAGGUCUACUAUAAGGUCGUUUUAACGCUCGCGUGUUCGUUUCUCUUCACAGCAGUUGCUCCGAUUUUGGUCGUCGUCAGACCUUGAGCUGGCUGGUCUCCGUCCUGGACAAGGAAGGUCCUUUGGAUCUCGAGGUCGACGAUGCCCCUGUUGCAUGAAGUCUCCCUCGUGUCUCGUUCAGCGAUGAUCACCCCUUAAUCAAGGUCAGCAGGAAGGCCUGAUGAUGAUGUGGACAGAAUGCAUGUGAUUACGAUGGUAGCUAGCACGGCCGCCGAAAUCACCCGUCUCCGGUAUUUACCCUUGCUCUUGGGGAAACCUUGCGAAAACCCAAGAGAGAGAGGAUGCACUGAUUCUGAUGUCCACUUUAUAUUGCAAAUGUUCAAUAAAACAGUUCGUAAAAUCUUCGAUUGUUAUUAAAGCGCGUACUCGCGAGCCGGCAGUUAUUUAGAAAAU
Molecule: long non-coding RNA, 3519 nt
Organism: Hylaeus anthracinus
Lineage: Eukaryota; Metazoa; Arthropoda; Insecta; Hymenoptera; Colletidae
Exons: 3
Source: RefSeq, a predicted model, not a curated record